UACGUAGGGUGCGAGCGUUAAUCGGAAUUACUGGGCGUAAAGCGUGCGCAGGCGGUUUUGUAAGCCAGAUGUGAAAUCCCCGGGCUUAACCUGGGAAUGGCAUUUGGGACUGCAAGGCUGGAGUGCGGCAGAGGAGACUGGAAUUCCUGGUGUAGCAGUGAAAUGCGUAGAUAUCAGGAGGAAUACCGAUGGCGAAGGCAGGUCUCUGGGCCGAUACUGACGCUGAGGAGCGAAAGCGUGGGGAGCGAACAGG
This 253-nucleotide ribosomal RNA is filed under the name uncultured bacterium. RNAcentral describes it as "partial 16S ribosomal RNA". It matches the Rfam family "Bacterial small subunit ribosomal RNA", at positions 524 to 776 of the family's 1533-position model. The record is from RNAcentral.